RNAcentral lists this ribosomal RNA (207 nucleotides) under Ilyonectria sp. Its description in RNAcentral is "partial large subunit ribosomal RNA". The record is from RNAcentral. Lineage: Eukaryota; Fungi; Ascomycota; Sordariomycetes; Hypocreales; Nectriaceae.
AAGCGCUCAUGACCAGACUUGGGCUUGGUUGAUCAUCCAGGGUUCUCCCUGGUGCACUCUUCCAGCCCAGGCCAGCAUCAGUUCGCUGUGGGGGAUAAAGGCUUUGGGAAUGUAGCUCUUCCGGGAGUGUUAUAGCCCGUUGCACAAUACCUCUGAGGGGACCGAGGUUCGCGCUCUGCAAGGAUGCUGGCGUAAUGGUCAUCAGCG